This 183-nucleotide non-coding RNA is filed under the name chicken gut metagenome. RNAcentral describes it as "6S / SsrS RNA". It matches the Rfam family "6S / SsrS RNA". Rfam says of the family: E. coli 6S RNA was the first non coding RNA to be sequenced, but its function was unknown until recently. It consists of 184 nucleotides that fold into an extended hairpin structure with a large single-stranded internal bulge. The record is from RNAcentral.
UUCCCUGGGGUGUACGCCAGUCGUAUGAACCCUGAGCCGAUAUUUAUUAGACUGGGGAGGCUCACUGUUAUCAGUUGCGCAGGCCGCGGCUUUUAAGCUUGAGCGGAAGCCUUAGAUAACACAGUGUCCCCACUUGAACCUCCUGGUUCAAGGAGUCAUAUACGGCAGCGGCAUUUCCGGGGU